Loxodonta africana (African savanna elephant) is the source of this 12321-nucleotide long non-coding RNA. RefSeq lists it as uncharacterized. Lineage: Eukaryota; Metazoa; Chordata; Mammalia; Proboscidea; Elephantidae. The transcript is spliced from 5 exons. The record is from RefSeq and is a predicted model, not a curated record.
AACUACCACUACACUCAAGAUACAGAACAUUUCCAUAAUCUCAAAAUCUCCUGCAGGCCCCAGGCUCAGGAAACCACUGAUCUGCUUCCUGUCGCUAUAGAUUACUUUGCAUAUUCUAGAACUGUACAUAAAUAGAAUUGCACAGUGUGCACUAUUUUGUGUCUGACUUCUUUGUUGAGAUUCGUCCAUGUUUUUACAUGUGUCAGUAGUUUGUUUCUUUUUAUUGCUUAGUAUUUUAUUGUAUGGAUAUACAAUAAUUUGUUUAUCUGUUCACCUGUUGAUAGAAAACUGGGUUGUUUAUAGUUUGGGGCUAUUAUGAAUAAAGCUGCUCUGAAGAUUUAUGGGGCAGCACUACAGGAUAUGGCCAGGGGAUUCUUUGACUGAUGGCUAAAACUUGGUGUUCCUAGAGAAUGUGCAGGGUCAUGAGAUGAACAGACUCAUGCUCAGAAAUUCUAGGGUAUUACACAAGGCCAUCCAUAGCCCAAUUUGCACAUGGUAUGUCGGGAGAGAUGACAAAAAUUUUUGCAUUGUUUGUGAGGACCCAGGAUACCAGAAUUAAAAACACUUGAACAAAAAAUGUCUAUGAAGACUUCCUGCAGCUCCUGAGGCAGCAUUAUUACUCUUAGACAUUUCUUGGUGUCAGAUACGUGGGAUUCGAAGGCACAUUAUCUUCGGCAGCCCCCAGGACAUCAAGAGCCUGGAGUUUUCAGUGCCAGUGCAAGUCCCUCGAGCCCUUGUAUCUCCAUGGAUUCCCGGGAGAUGUCACAGGAAUCUGCUAAAACACAGUUAGAGAAACCAGUUACCGACGAGGUCUAAGCUAAUCCAAUGCCACAGACUGGACUGGGAAGCUGUUCUCAACCCUGCUAGGAAUAAAUAUGCUAAUUAUUAUGCAUAAUACAUAUGGCAGUUAUGUUAAUGAAGCAAGACUCAAUCUACAAGAUUAAGUUCUGUCUUAAGCCACUCUCUUUUGAGAUAUAAAAGAGAGAAUUGAGCAGAGAGACAUGGGGACUUCAUACCACCAAGAAAGCAGUGCUGGUAGCAGGGUGUGUCUUUGGACUCGGGGUUCCUGGCCAGAGAAGCAACUAGUUCAGGGGAAGAUUGAUGAUAAGGACCUUUCUCCAGAGCUGACAGAGAGAAAAAGCCUUCCCCUGGAGCUGAUGCCCCAAAUUCAGACUUCUAGCCUACUAGACUGUGAGAGAAUAAACUUCUUUUUGCUGAAGCCAUCCACUCAUGGUAUUUCUGUUGUACAACACUAGAUAACUAAGAAUUUGUUGCCGAGAGAAUGGGCUGCUGCUCUAAAAGAUACCUAAUAUGUGGAAGUGGUUUUGAAACUGGAUGGAUAGAGGAUUCAGAAGGAAGUGAGGAGAGCUGUUAGACUGGAAAUGGCACAGAUGGAAAGAAUCAGCAGCAUCAGAGAAACAGCAGCUGCAAAACCAGGAGACUGGCACUGGAGCUGGCCCACGGAGUGAGAGAGCUGAGUGCCUGUGCACAGGAGGCUUUCUGGUGCAGUGAGGUGCCUCCAGGCACUUAUUGAUGGAGCUAGGCUUGCCGACCCACAGAGAAAGAGAGGUGAGUGCCUUCAGGCCAAAGUUUACUGGCAGAGUAGGGUGUCUCUCGGCACUUAUCAGUGAAGCUACAGAGCUUCGGAACAUUUGCCCCAGCAGGGCAGACUUAGGAGGUGAGGCCCAAGGGGCCAAGAGGCCAAGGAAGCAGGAAGCAGAAGCUGAAGAGACAAGGAACACAGAUAGCAGACCUACCUCAGCCUCAAAGUGUAUGCCACGACUUCUGGGGCCUCAAAGGGUGGAGUUGCCACUCAGAUGGACUAGGAGAAUGGGGCCUCCCAAAGCCAAGGGAGCAAAGUUGCCAUUCCAGUGGGCCUGGUAGGUGGAGCUGAAGCCCAGGGUAGAUGGACCUCCACCCAGUAUCCGAAGAGUGUGGUCAAUACCAACAGUCUGGAGGGCAGGGCUAUUUUGUGAAUGGUCUGAGAGAACAGAGGGUUAUUUUCAAGCCUUGAAGUCUAAUGUAAUGUGUUCUGCUAACUUGCUGGGUGCCUAUUGUCCCUUCUUUCCCUCUAAUUUCUCCCAUUUGUAAUGGAAUGUCUAGCUUGUGCCAGUUUCACCAUGGUACUUUGGAAGCAGAUAAUUUGUAUUCUUUAUUUCACAGAUGAAGAGGAAUGUUUGGAUUUUGGACUUGGAGUUGAUUUAAGACUUUUUUAUGAUAUGAUGGGAAAAACAUAUUUUACAUGUGGCAAGGACAUGAAUUUUGGGGGGCCAAAGGGUGGAAUGUUAUAGAUUGAAUUGUGUCCCCCCAAAAUAUCUGUCAACUUGGCUAUGCCAUAAUUCCCAAUAUUGUGUGAUUGUCCACCAUUUUGUCACCUGAUGUGAUUUUCCUAUGAAUUGUAAAUCCUGUCUCUAAGAUGUUAAUGAGAUGGGAUUAGUGGCAGUUAUGUUAAUGAGGCAGGAUUCAAUCUACAAGAUUAGGUUGUGUUUUAAGCCAAUGUCUUUUGAGAUAUAAAAGAGAGAAUCAAGCAGAGAGACAUGGGGACCUCAUACCACCAAGAAAGCAGCGCCAGGAGCAGAGCAUGUCCUUUGGGCCUGAGGUUCCUGUGCAGACAAGCUCCUAGUUCAGCAGAAGAUUGAUGAUAAGGACCUUCCUCCAGAGCCAACAGAGAAAGAGAAAGCCUUCCCCUGGAGCUGACACCCGGAAUUUGGACUUCUAGCCUCCUAGACUGUGAGAGAAGAAACUUCUGUUUGUUGAAGCCAUCCACUUGUGGUAUUUCUGUUAUAGCAGCACUAGAUAACUAAGACAUGUCCCAUAUUCAACUAAUCAUCUUUCUCCCUGUACUUGUCCCUUCCUGUCCUGGUGACUAGUACCAUCACCCACUUAGUGGGCCAAUCCAGAAACCUGGUAUUCAUCUGCCCAUUCAGUCAUACUCUUAUCCAAUAAGUCAAAAGUACUGUAGAUUUUACCUACUUAGUAGUUCCCUAAUAUCAUACCUCCUUCUCUCCUUUUCUACUGCCAUCACCUUAGUUCAAAUCCUCACAAAUUAUUUUUUGGAUUAUUUGAGUAGCCUCUUCUCUGAUAUCCUUACCUCUUUCUGGUUCCCCUCUAAUCUAGUCUCAUUGUUGCUAGAGCAACCUUUCUAAAACAUAAUCAUGUUUUUCUGCUUAAAACUAGUUAGUGGAUCUGUAUGUUUUUUAGGAUAAGGUCAAAUUACUUAGGUUAUCACAUGAGGCCCUUUAUGAUCUUGCUAGGUUUGAAUUUAGUUUCCUCACUGGGCAUUGCACCACAUUUACCCUUUCUCAAAACACAAAUUCUUCUCUACUUAUGAACAAGUUCAUUUCUAAAUGGCUGUUUCUACAUUCAUUUGUUUCCACGUCUAAAAGGCCUAAGAGACGUUUAAGCUUGCAAGCCCUGAAUGCAAAAUUCAACUAAAUAAGUUCUUUGAAGAUUUGAAGCCAGGCAUACUUAUUUUUUAUAAUAGCAAGAUAGUACAAUAAAAAUUCAUCAAUAGAGUAUUGAUUAAAUAAGUUAUGAUAUAUAAUUAUAUGUAACUAUUAAAAUGAAGAAGGUAUAUCUACAUGAAUUGAUAUAGAACAAUCUCUAAAAUAUAUUAAAUGGGACAAAAAUUCCAGAACAAUGUGUAUAAUAUGCACUUAUUUAUAUGAAAGGAAAUAAAAGAAACCCUUAAUAGUGGUCACCUUUGGGGAGCUGGACUGAGAGUCUAGGAUGGAUGGAAGACAUGUUCUUUACUAUAUAUCUUUUUAAGCUAUUUUAAUUUUUUACCAUUUACAAUUAUUGCCAUAAAUCAUCAGUUUGCCUUUAAAAUCACAAACCAGGCAUGUGCUUUUCUCCUAUCUUCUAUACAAUCUUUCAGGUUCCUUUUCCUUAAGACCUAUUUCUACUACAUUGCACGUAUGUUGAGGUUGGUAAUUCCCCUCCCUGAUGAUAGCUCCAAGUGCAGAAAAUUCCUUCGCAGCUACAGUGUCCUUAAACUAUAGAACUUAACUGUGGCUUGAGUCAAAAGUUAUAGCAUUUUCCCCUUGCUCAGCCUUUAACUUCCUAAACAAACUCUUGUCUUUGUCCAGAAUUAACAUUAUUUAGGCAUCCGACAUUGAUUUCCCUCCUCUAGUUAUACACUCUUAAAGCUUUUCUACCUGGCAAUCACAAUUCAUUCUUCUUGCUGAUUAUUGUUGAUGGCAUAGUGUAAAAAUGGCUUGGGGGCAGUGUCUGACCUCCUCCAACCCCACAACGGGGAAGGAGAACCAAGAUCAACAGCACAAGGGUGAUUCCUGUGAGGCGGGGGCCAGACAAGCCUCCUCUCUCCACCAUCUUUACUAAUUUUGACUCCACCUAUUUUAUCCCUCACACAGUACUCUCUACUUCUCUGCUGGGUUCGAUAAUUCUUUGCAAUGGCCACACAGAACUCACAGACAUACUCACAAUUAUGGGGUUUAUUAGGGAAGUGAAAGUUACAAUUCAGGCUCAGGAACGCUCAGGAUGCAUCAGGACAGCCUCUGCUCAGCCAUGCUCACAGGCAUGCCUUUCCCUGGCCCUAGGCCUCUGCCCAAAGGCACACAGCUUUCUUUCUCCUUGGGCUGAGAUGCCUACUGCGGUGUCUCCCGCUGCUGGGUCUCGCCUGCCACCACUUCUCACUGUCUUUAGGGUUACAGCUCUCUCUUCUCUCUCUUUGUCUCCUGCUUCCAGAAGCCUCUCAUCUCAGGGAUCCCAGGUGAUAAAGACAUGCUUUCUGCUCCUGGCCGUUCUUCCUUGGUGGUGGUAGGAUCCUUCUCUCUGCUCUGGAAUUGGCUCUCCUUUAAGGCAAAACUGACCAAUCUCCUUUGUGGGCUGCAAUUACCCUAUCACACAGUCCUGCCCAAUCACUUGGGUGGGAGUUACAAGACCAUGUAUAGAAAGGCCAUACAAAAAUAAUCAAUCUCACUGUAUAUAGGUAUAUGUGUGUUUGUAUGAUUGGAUCUUUCUUUUUCAGAGUUGUUCUUAUUACUGAGCAGUUUAUCCCAUGUACAUACAUGUAUCAUUUUUCAUUUUCAGCUACAUCUAUUUUUGUUUCCAUACUUACUAUAUGUCUCUUCCUACUAACACUGUUAAUACACUAGCUGUAUUUCUUUUCUUUUCUUUUUUUUAGUAUUUUAUUGUGUUUUUGGUGAAAGUUUACACAGGAAAUUGGUUCUCAUUUAACACUUUCUAUGCAUACUGUUCUUUUUUUCUUUUUAUGCAUACUGUUCAGUGACAUUGUUACAUUCUUCACAAUUUAUCAGCAUUCUCAUUAUUUUCAUAUUGGUUGUUCUGUUUCUAUUAAUCUAGUUUCCCCUUGCCUUUUCAUCUUUGGUCUAGAGUAAAUGAAACCUGGUUUCAUCUAGACAAUUAUUUUGAGGAGCACAGUACUCAUGGGUGAUAUUAUUUAUUUUUUGGACCAAUCUAUCAUUUGGCUGAAAGGUGACCUUUGGGAGGGGUUUGAGUUCCAGUUUUAAAGCGUAUCUCAGGGCAAUAGUCUCAGGGGUUCGUCUAAUCUCUAUCAGUCCAGUAAGUCUGGCCUUCUUUUUAGGAGUUUGAGUUUUGUUUUACAUUUUUCUCCCAUUCUAUCUGGGAGUCCCUGGUCAGGAUGGUAGCCGGGCACCAUCUAGUUCUUCUGGUCUCAAGGUAGGUGAUGUCGUUGUUUGUGUAGACUGUUGAUUCUUUUGACUAGUUUCUUCUUUGAGUCUUUAGUUUCCUUCUUUCUCUUUAGCUCUGGAGAAGUAGUGACCAAUAGUUGAAUCUUAGAUGGCCACUCGCAAGCUUUUAAGACCCCAGACGCUUCUCACCAAACUAGGAUGUAGAACAUUGUCUUUAUGGACUAUAUUAUGCAAAUUGACUGAGUUGCCCCAUGAAGUCCUAAGCCCUCAAACCCAGUAGACCAGUCCUGUGAGGUGUUUGGUUAUGUCUAGGAAGUAUCCAUAACUGUGCCCCCUAUGCGCUUUAUUUUAUACUUGAAAAUAUAAGCAGCACACAUAAAUGAGUAUAUACCUAUGUCUAUGAUUAUUCAUAUAUGCCUUCCUGUACAUAUUUUUGCAUACUUAUAUAUCUAUGUAACAAACACAUUUUUUGUAGUUGUUACUUUGUUGCAAAACUGUAUAUCCCUCGAUGAAUUUUUUUUUACAAAUUUCCACAUGAAUUGUUCAUUGACAGUUACAUUUAUCACAAUUUGUCAGCAUUCUCUUUAAUUGUAUCUAUAUCCUUCUAUUUGUGCUCAAAAACUCAUCUUUCCUAUGGUUGUUCUAUGCUCACUACUUCCACAUUCAGAGCCACAUUUGUUCUUAUCUUCUUGUAAAGAAGGGAUCACACAAUAUUUGUCCUUAUAUGCUUGACUUAUUUUACUUAGCAUUAUGCCCUCCAGGUCCAUCCAUGUUAUAAUAUGUUUCGUGGACUUAUCAUUGUUCUUUAUGGUUGUGUAGUAUUCUGUUGUGUGUAUGUACCACAAUUUGUAUGUACCACAAUAUCCACUCAUUCAUUGAUGGACACUUUGAUUGUUUCCAUUGUUUUGCUAUAGUGGAUAAAGCUGCAAUGAACAUAGGAGUGCAUAUAUCUGGUUAUGUCAGUAGUUUCAGGUCUCUAGGAUAUAUUCCCAGGAGUGGGAUUGAUGGAUCAUAAGGUAGUUCUAUUUCUAAUUUUUGAGGAAGUGGUAAACCAUUUUCCAUAGUGGUUGUACCAUUUUACAAUUCCACCAACAAUGAAUAAGGGUUCAAAAUCCCCAUGCUUACCAACAUUUGUUGUUUUCUGUUUUUUUAAUCGGUGCCAUUUUAGUAGGAGUGAGAUGAUAUCUCAUUGUAGUUUUGAUUUGCAUCUCUCUAGUGGUUGAUCGUCAACAUCUUUCCAUGUGUUUAUUGGCUGCCUGGAUGUCUUCUUUGGUAAAGGUCCUGUUCAUGUCCUUUGCCCAUUUUAUAAUUGGGUUGUUUGUCUUUUUAUUGUUGAGUUGUCAAAGUUUUCAAUAAAUUUUGGAAAUUAGACCCUUAUCUGAUAUGUCUUUUCUGAAAUUUUUCCCCGUCUGUAGUUUUUCUUUUUACUCUUUUGAUGGGCAGAAAUUUAUAAUUUUUAUGAGGUCCCAUUUAUCUAUUUUGUCUUCUUUUAUUUAUGCAUUUGUUGUAAUGCUUGGUAUUCUAUUUUUACAGAAGAUUAGGUCCCAUAGUUUUCUCCCAAGGAAUUUUAUGGUUUUAGGUUUGAUGUUUAGGUCUUUGAUCUAUUUGAGUUAGUUUUUGUGUUUGGUGUGAAGUAAGGGUCCUGUUUCAAUUUUCUGCAGGUGGAUAUUCAGUUUUGCCAGCAUCAUUUUUUAAAGAGACUGUCUCUGCCCAAAUGAAUGGACUUUGGCCCCUAGCUGAAAAUCAGUUGUCCAAAGAUGUUUAGGUUUAGUUCUGAGUCCUAAGUUCUAUUCCACUGGUUUAUGUGUCUAUCAUUGAAACAGUACCAGGCUGUCUUGAGUACAGUGGCUGUAUAGUAUGUUUUGAUAUCAGGGUGUGUGAGGACUCCUGCUUUGUUCUUUUUCUCCAACAUUACUUUGGUUAUUUGGGGUUUCUUUCCUUUCCAUAUGAAGUUGGUCAUUAGUUUUUCCCUUUUGGUAAAGACUGUUGUUGGAAUUUGUAUUAGUAUUGCAUUGAAUCUGUAGAUCACUUUAGGUAGUAUUGACAUUUUGACUAUAUAUUUUCCCUAUAUUAAGCCUUCCUGUUCAGGAGCCCUGGUGGCAUAGUGGUUAAAGCAAUUGACUGCUAACCAAAAGGUUGGUGGUUCAAAACCACCAGCAGUUCCAUGGAAGAAAGAUGUGGCAGUCUGCUUCCAUAGAGAUUUAUACCCUUAGAAACCCUAUGGGGUUGCUGUGAGUCAGAAUUGACUCAAAGGUGGUGGGUUUGGUUUCGUUUUAUUCACGAGCAUUUGAUGCUGUCAUGAAAUGAAUUGUAUCCCCCCCCAAAAAAAUAUGUAUCAAUUUGGCUAGGCCAUGAUUCCCAGUAUUGUUUGAUUGUCCACCAUUUUGUCAUCUGAUGUGAAUUUCCUAUGUGUUGUAAAUACUACCACUAUGAUGUUAACGAGAUGGAUUAGUAGCAGUUAUGUUCACGAGAUCUACAAGAUUAGAUUGUGUCUUAAGCCAACCUCUUUUGAGAUAUAAAAGACAGAAGCAAGCAAACAGACAUGGGGACCUCACACCACCAAGAGAGAAGCACCAAGAGCAUAGCACAUCCUUUAGACCCGGGGUUCCUGUACUGAGAAGCUCCUUCACCACAGGAAGAUUGAUAACAAGGACCUUUCUCCAGAGCUGACAGAGAGAGAAAGCCUUCCCCUGAAGCGGGUGUGAAUUUGGACUUCUAGGCUACUAGACUGUGAAAGAAUAAAUUUCUCUUUGUUAAAACCAUCCACUUAAAAAAAAAAAAAAAAAAUCCACUUGUGGUAUUUCUGUUACAGCAGCACUAGAUGACUAAGACAGAUGCCUUUCCAUAUUUGUAGGUCUCUUUUAGUCUGUUAUAGCAGUGUUUUAUAAUUCUCAUGGUGUAAGUCUUUAAUAUCCCUGGUUAUGUUAAUCCCCACAUAUUUUAUUGAUUUGGGGGCUAUUGUGAAUGGUAUUGUUUUCUUGAUUUCUUUUUCAUAGUAGUCUUUAUUAGUGUAGUAGAACUCAAAUGAUUUGUGUGUUGAUCUUGUAUCCUGUAACAUUGCUAAAUUCUUCUAUCAGUUCCAGCAGUUUUCUUACGGAAUCCUUAGGGUCUUCUAUAGAUAGGAAACCCUGGUGGUAUAGUGGUUAAGGGCUACAGCUGCUAACCAAAGGGUCUGCAGUUCAAAUCCACCAGGCACUCCUUGGAAACCCUAUAGGGCAGCUCCACUCUGUCCUAUAGGGUCACUAUGAGUUGGGAUCAACUCAGUGGCAGUGGGUUUGGUUUGGUUUAUAUACAGGAUCAUGUCAUUUGCAAAUAUAGGACAGAGUAGAACAUAAAUGAAAAAAGUUUCUUGAGGAAUUUCCCUUCUAUUCCUAUUUUGCUAAGAGUUUUUAUCAGGAAACGGUGUUGAAUUUUAUUGAAUGCCUUUUUUGCAUUGAUUGAUAUGAUCAUGUGGUUCUUUUUCUUUUUCUUUUUUUUUUUUAUGUAGUGGAUUACAUUGAUUUUCUGAUGUUGAACCACCGUUGUAGUCCUGGUAUGAAUCCCAGUUUAUCAUUGUGUAUGAUUUUUUUGAUAUGCUGCUGCAGUGUGUUCACUACAAUUUUGUUAAAAAAUUUUGCAUCUAUGUUCACAAGGAGUGUUGGUCUGUAGUUUUCUUUUUUUGUAAUGUCUUUGCCUGAUUUCAGUAUCAGGGUUAUACUGGCUUCAUAGAAGGAGCUUGGUAGUGUACCUUCCUCUAUGCUUUUGAAGAGACUGAGUAGGAUUGGCAUCAACUCUUCUCUGAAUGUUUGGUAGAAGCCUCCAGUGUAGCCAACUAGUCCCAGGUUUUUUUUUGUUUUUUGGUAGCUUCUUGAUGACAUCUUCUAUCUCUUCUUUUGCGAGGGGUCUGUUUAAAAUUUCUACCUCUGUUUUUGAUAAUUUGGGUAGGUUGUUUGUUUCUAGGAGUUUGUCCAUUUCCUCUAGGUUUUCAAAUUUGACAGAGGAUAAUUUUUCAUAGUAAUCAGCUAUGAUCUCCUUUAUCUCUGAUGGAUUGGUUGUAAUGUCACCAAUUUCAUUUCUUAAUUUGGUUAUUUGCCUCUUCUGGAUUUUUCCUUUUGUCAGUCUAGCCAGUGGUUUGUCUGUUUUGUUAAUUCUUUCACAGAAUCAACUUCUGGUUUUGUUAAUUCUUUCAAUUGUUUUUCUAUUUUUUAACUCAUGUAUCUCUACCCUGAUUUUUAUUAUUUCUUUUUUUAUGGUUACUUUUGACUUCUUUUGCUCUUCCUUUUCCAUUUGAUCAAGUUGUCACUUUAAGUUAGUGAUUUUGGAUUUUUUUCUUUUUCAAUGUAGGUAUUUAUUGCUAUAAAUUUCCCUCUGAGUACUGCUCUUGUUGCAUCACAUAGGUUUUGAUACGUUGUGUUUUAAUUUUUGUUGGAUUCCAGGAAUUUUUUUAUUUCACUUUUGGUUUCUUGUAUGACUCAAUAAUUUUUUUAGUAGUGUAUUAUUUAGUUUCCAUGUGAUUUAUUUUUUCCUGUUAUAGAUUUCUAGCUUCAUACUGUUAUGGUCAGAGAAGAUGCUUUGUAUGAUUUCAAUCUUUUUAAAUUUGUUAAAACUUGUUUUUUGACCUAGCAUAUGGUCUGUUCUGGAAAAUGACCUAUGUGCACUGGGGAAGAAUGUAUAUUGUUCUGAUGUUGGGUGGAGUGUUCUAUAUAUGUCUGUUAAGUCCAAUUUUUUUUUAUGGUUUUAUUUAAGUUCCCAGUGUCUUUAGUGAUUUUCCUUUUAGAUGUUCUGCCUAUAAUUGAAAGUGGUGUUUUGAAGUCCCCUACUAUCAUUGUGGAGUUGUCUAUUUCUCCUUUCAUAUUAUAGUAAGAAUUUAUGUAUUUUGAUGCUGUUAGGUGCAUAUAUAUUUAUAAUUGCUAUGUCUUCUUGUUGAAUUGACCCUUUUGUUAUUAUUUAAUGUCCUUAUUUUUCUCUUGUAACAGAUUUUGAUUUAAAGUCUUUUAUCUGAUAUCAGUACAGCCACCCCUGCUCUUUUUUGUUUACUAGUUGCAUGGAAUAUUUUUCUCCAUCCUUUUAUUUUCAGCCUGUUUAUGUCCUUGUGUCUAAGCUGGAUUUCUUGUAGACAUCAAAAGGAUGGAUCAUUUUUUUUUUUUUAAUCCACUCUUCCACUCUGCCUUUUGCAUGGGGCAUUUAGAUCACUUACAUUUAAUGUUAUUAGUGAAAAUGAAUUGUCUACCUCAAGUUAUUUUGUUAUUUGUUUUUUGAGUGUUUCAUAUCUUAUUGUAUGGAUUUCUCUGUUUUUUCUUUGUAUUUGGGUGCUUUCGUGUCAUAAGCCUUUUUGUUAACUUGUCUUUUCUCCUGAGUGUUUCUUCUUAGCAAUUUCUUAGUUGUUACCACGUAUGUUACAUUACAUGCCUUACAAUUACUACAGCAUCUAGCAUAAGAAUAACUGUUAACAUACACCCUUAACAUAAUAAAUCUAUUCCUGAUAUGCUCCUCCCCAUUUCUGUUGGUGCGUCUCCAUUAACAGCAAUAUAAAACCUGUAUUCAAUAGGUUUAGUUUGUACUUAAUUUUUAAUAUUCUUAUCUUUCCAUUUGGACUACUCCCUUGAGUAAUACUUGCAAAGCUGGUCUGGUAGUGGCAAAUUCCCAGAGCUUCUGUUUGUUUGAAAAUGUCUUGAUUACCGCCCCCCACCCACCCCUCCCCCCCCAUUUUUGAAUGACAACUUUGGUGGGUAAAGUAUUCUUGGUUGGCAAUUGUUUUGGUUCAGUAUUUUAUAUACAUCACUCCAUUAUCUUCUGGCCUCUAGAUUUUCUGGGGAGAAAUCCACACUUAUUCUUAUGAAACUCCCUUGGUAUGUUAAAUUGUUUUUCUCUUGCUGCUUUCAAAAUUCUCUCUUUAUCUUUGGUUUUCAAGAAUUUUACUAGAAUAUGUUGUGGAGUUGAUCUUUUUGUGUCUCUUCCAAUUCCAUGUAGUUUCCUGUGUUUGCAGAUUUGACUCUCUGCUUAGGUCUGAGAAAUUGUUUCUAUGCCUUUAUUGUUGUCUUGGUGCUCUAGAAUUCAUAUAAUUCUGUUAGAUUUCUUAAUUGAAUCUCACAUUUCUUUUUCGUUUUGUUUGCUUUUCUUUGUUCUUUUCUCGUUUUUCUUGAGACUUGACAGAUUCAGAUAUUUUGUCUUCUAAUUCACAUAGUCUAUCUUCUGCUUGUCCAACUCUAUUGUUGAGUGUUUCUCUUGCUUUUUCUAAUUCAGAUGUUUUAUUCUUCAGUUCCAGCAGUUCUCUCUCUUUUUAAUGUUUUCAUAUUCCUUGUUGAAGCUCUCAUUUUUUUCCUCCAUUUGCUUCCUGAACUCUGCUAGUUUGUUUUCUGUGUGUUCUUUGCUUUCUUUAAACAUAUUUAGCACCACAGUAUGAAAAUUAUCAAUUCUUUGCAUUAUUCUAGCCUCCAGAGAAGAGAUUUUCUCUUGUACAUGUUUUGUUUUCGAGUGUUUCUUCUUGUGCUUUUGUAUUUUUUAUUAGUUUUUGUUGAAUUUAGGCCAUUUUGUUAUUUUUUCUUUAAAUUUUUUAUUCUGUUUAUUGUGGGAAAAUUCAAGAGAUCCAUAUGCUUGGUCUCUGGGAUUCAAUACACAUGUGCAGGAGGAGGGAUUCACUGAGCACCUCUGCUGGUAUGUGUGGUGGGGGUGGACUUUACUGUGGUGACAGUGAGGGUUUUCUUUUUUU